CCUACGGGGGGCAGCAGUGGGGGAUAUUGGACAAUGGGGGGAACCCUGAUCCAGCGACGCCGCGUGAGUGAAGAAGUAUUUCGGUAUGUAAAGCUCUGUCAGCAGGGAAGAAAGCAAUGACGGUACCUGACCAAGAAGCCCCGGCUAACUACGUGCCAGCAGCCGCGGUAAUACGUAGGGGGCAAGCGUUAUCCGGAUUUACUGGGUGUAAAGGGAGCGUAGGUGGCAUGGCAAGCCAGAAGUGAAAACCCGGGGCUUAACCCCGCGGAUUGCUUUUGGAACUGUCAGGCUGGAGUGCAGGAGGGGCAGGCGGAAUUCCUGGUGUAGCGGUGAAAUGCGUAGAUAUCAGGAUGAACACCGGUGGCGAAGGCGGCCUGCUGGACUGUAACUGACACUGAGGCUCGAAAGCGUGGGGAGCAAACAGGAUUAGAUACCCGUGUAGUC
Molecule: ribosomal RNA, 444 nt
Filed under: uncultured bacterium
Lineage: Bacteria
Description: partial 16S ribosomal RNA
Rfam family: Bacterial small subunit ribosomal RNA
Source: RNAcentral